AACGAACGCUGGCGGCAUGCCUAACACAUGCAAGUCGAACGAGACCUUCGGGUCUAGUGGCGCACGGGUGCGUAACGCGUGGGAACCUGCCCUUAGGUUCGGAAUAACUCCCCGAAAGGGGUGCUAAUACCGGAUAAUGUCUUCGGACCAAAGAUUUAUCGCCUUUGGAUGGGCCCGCGUUGGAUUAGCUAGUUGGUAGGGUAAAAGCCUACCAAGGCGACGAUCCAUAGCUGGUCUGAGAGGAUGAUCAGCCACACUGGGACUGAGACACGGCCCAGACUCCUACGGGAGGCAGCAGUGGUGGAUGUUGGACAGUGGGCGAAAGCCUGAUCCAGCAAUGCCGCGUGAGUGAUGAAGGCCUUAGGGUUGUAAAGCUCUUUUACCCGGGAUGAUCAUGACAGUACCGGGAGAAUAAGCUCCGGCUAACUCCGUG
Molecule: ribosomal RNA, 433 nt
Filed under: uncultured bacterium
Lineage: Bacteria
Description: partial 16S ribosomal RNA
Rfam family: Bacterial small subunit ribosomal RNA
Source: RNAcentral